RNAcentral lists this ribosomal RNA (468 nucleotides) under uncultured bacterium. RNAcentral describes it as "partial 16S ribosomal RNA". It matches the Rfam family "Bacterial small subunit ribosomal RNA", at positions 28 to 507 of the family's 1533-position model. The record is from RNAcentral.
GACGAACGCUGGCGGCGUGCUUAAUACAUGCAAGUCGAACGGAAAGGCGCUGCUUUUGUGGGGUUCUUGUGUGGCGAACGGGUGAGUAUAACGUGAGUAUCAUGUCCCUGACAUUGGGAUAACUUCACGAAACAGGGGCUCUUAUCGGAUAGGAGCUUUUGCUGCACGGUGGGGGUUGGAAAGAUUCGGCGGUUGGGGCAGGAAUCGAGGCUUAUGCGCUUGUUGGUGAAGUAGUGGCUUACCAAGGUUUUGAAGGGUAGGCCGCCUGGGAGGGUGACCGGCCACAUUGGGACUGCGGUACGGCCCAGAAGCGUACGGGAGGCAGCGGUGGGGAAUAUUGCACAAUAGCGGGAAGCCAGAGGCAGCGACGCCGCGAGCGGGAUGACGGCCUUCGGGUUGUAAACCGAUGUCGCCUGUGACGAAGCGUGAGUGACGGUAAUGGGUAAAAAAGCACCGGCUAACUACGUG